AACAAACAGAAGCAUAAGGUGCAAGGAAGAGAGAAAAAUUCAAGACAGCUGUCCCGUUUCCGACUGGAAGAGUGGAAAACAGAUUUCAUGGGGAACAGAAGAGGAACUGUCAUGCCUCGAGCAUGUGGGAAGACUUUAAUGGGCUCAAAGAACUGAAACUCAACACGAUCUAAGGAAGAAAUUAUGCCCCAACUUUUUUCCAAAAGAGCGUGCAUUAACAUCCAGUAUACAUAGCCACAUCUUCCAUAUUACUACAUCUACCAUCAAAGGAAGGGAGGCUAUAAUUAUAUAUACAAGGCUGGCCACGAUGGAAUUUCUGACUUAGCUGCUGACUGUCUCUGUUCCCGGGGGCCUGUGGCCCACAGUACUCACGGUAUUAUUGUGUUUCCAGAUAGGCUGCUGUUGGUGUUUAAAAAUAUUAUCUUAGGGCUGCCUGGGUGGCUCAGUGGAUUAAGCCUCUGCCUUCAGCUCAGGUCCUGAUUUUAGGGUCCUGGGAUCGAGCCCCCACAUGGGGCUCUCUGCUCAGCAGGGAGCCUCGUUCCCCCUCUUUCUCUGUCUGCAUUUCUGACUACUUGUGAUCUCUCUCUCUGUCAAAUAAAUAAAUAAAAUAAAAGUAAAUAAAAAUAUUAUCUUAGAUGCUGGUUCCCCUGUGCUGACCCCUGAUUAUAGGAG
Molecule: long non-coding RNA, 672 nt
Filed under: Mustela putorius furo (domestic ferret)
Lineage: Eukaryota; Metazoa; Chordata; Mammalia; Carnivora; Mustelidae
Description: lncRNA (ENSMPUG00000031180.1)
Source: RNAcentral